GCAGGUGUCGGCCGUUGGCGGGCCGCGCCCCGUGAGGGGAGGCGGAGGGGGGGUAGGGUACCUGCUCGCGGCCAUGAGCCCUUCUGGGCUCCAGGCUUUCCUCGGCUUUCCCCUCAGCCGCAGUCGGGGUGGUUGUGCCCUCAGCACAACCUAAACCACGCUUCUUUAGAGUAUCUUACGUUUACUUUGCAGAAUUUGCUGUGUGUCCCCCCAGUACAACACUACGCAGCUUGACCGUGAUUUGUAGUCAGGUCGAUUUGCUGGGAUCACCGCUUUGAUCUGAAGAACUACCAGGACGAGAAGUACCUCAUAACAGAAGCACAAUCUUUCUUAACGUUCAUGAUCAGAUGCUGACCUAAACAUAGCAUCCUCUCUGGAGGAUGCCACAAGCAUAUUAGAAGAGUUAUUUCCCUCCAAACGUGCAAGACAAAAAGCCCAAGGAGAGUGUUUCAAAUGCUGCUCCAUAUAAUUGUCGAUUAAUAUCAGCACGGUCGUGGCCUCAAGGUCACGCUAAGUGGAUCACCCAGAUGGUCUGUCGAGAUGCCACAUUGCAGUUGUCCUUAAGAAAGUUUUCCCAGUGAAGGAUGCCGUGCAAAAGUCAGCUGCGUUCAUUGUCAUCUUCCUUGAAAAUCUAAGAAUGACCUAGAAGAUGCUGUUUGUGUGGAUUUGGGGGAGAGAAUUAAUAUAGCUCUUGCUGAGAUUGUAAACACAUUGAAUUUAAGGAACAGCCACAGCUACAGCUACUGGCACAACAGAGGAGGCAGCUGAAUCUAGCCCAGGAGGCAGCAACAAGGGGAGUUGGCUGAUAACCUUUAAAGCUGCAUUAUCUCUUGACAAGGUCCUGAUGUACAGCCACAGCCCGAGUCUAAUACAACAAUGACAUUUGGUCUAUUUAUUGCCUAUAUAUGUACUCAGUCAUUGCUAUCUACAGGAAGAUCUGCCUUGCUGUCCCAACCGUAAUAAUGUCACCUUCUGUCAGAUGGGUUCUACAAGCAUUCCCAUCCUCUGCAGAUCUUCCCAAUGAAAACCUCAUUGCUGUCCACAGCAUGUGUGUGCAAAAGAUAGCAAAUACAGGAGACCCUGGCACAACUGAGCCCCAGUGGAGUCCAGUAGGAAACCAUUGGGAUGAGGCCUGGGGGACCUCUGAUUUUUCUGGUCGUUCUGUAUAACCUUCCUCACCCCACACCAAUAUGCUCUCCAGGGCAAAUCGUCCAGACUGUCCCUGCAAAUGUUGACACCCAGCUCUGCCUGCCGUGGCUGCCUGGCUAGGAAAAUUUGGAUGGGCAGGGUUUGAAGGCAGCUGAGAGCAGGGUGUGCUGGCAUGGAGCAUGUUAAGUAGCCAGGUCCCUUGCCUCUGAAGAGAAUUGAGCCAACACAGGCUGGCAGAAGGGCUGGACCCAGCCCAGCUUAUCCUGCAAGAGAGCUGCGGGACACACUGAGGCGUCACUCUCAUUUCUCUCCAAGCCUCUUCUAAGCCUCCUUCUACCCUACCACAAGAACCAGUAAACAGGAGUAAGAAACAGAAUCAGAAUUUGCUUGCAUUUUAUGAACCAGUCGCAUACAAGCAUAUCGUAUAUGCAAUAGAACAGUGGCAGAGUCUUCAAAACCAGAAGCAUUUCUUCCCUGUGAUCUGAACCACGUAAAUAAAUUUUGUGACUACAUGUAUUUAAAUAUAGUUCAAAGUCUUACUGACUUGAAGACAUGAUGCACAGAGGAAAUUAAUUUAUCUGGGACUGCAACAUCAAAGACCUUGAAGAAGGCAGUACAGAUGACUGUCACCACAAUUCUGUUCAUAUUUGUGACUUUAAAUGCUGCCGUUUGUAAACAAAAGGAAUGAGAAAACAGCCAAUUUAAUGUCUGCAGACAGAUCACCGUACCUGCCUGCUUUGAGGAAACAGGAAAUCCUCUGUCCUUAAGAGAAGCAGGACCAUAUGGGCCAGCACAGCACAGCAGGGCACAGGCAAAGGAUGGGCAAGUCUUUUCUAUAAAUAUACUGACAGCAACAGACAUCCCAAGCCACCUCCCACUGCAAGCCUGUGACACCAGUACCACAGCACAGCACAGCAGCCAUUCUUUUAUUCCGGGAAGCCAUGAGGAAAAUGCAGCCUCUUGGCAGGGCAGAUACACCAGGCAGAGGACAUGUGUUUUGCAGCAGUGUCUGUCUUUCUUUGAGAUUUCAACUUAAUGAUAUGCCCACUGUCAGCUAAGCUUGUCCUCAUUACCUGAGCUAUCCUGUCAGCCUCCCACAAAGUGGCUAAACCCAAGUUUGCUGUACUUGCUAAAAAAUGGUGAGACAUUUGAAGCAGAAUCAAGAUUUAUCCAUGAUGCUUCAUACAAAAUUCUUGCAAUGCAGUCAAAGGUUUAGUCUCAUCUCUAACUAAACACUAAUGAUACUGACAAGUAUUUUUGUAGCAACCCCCCUGUACCCUAAUUUUCCAGCAGUAUUUGAAAGGAAAUGUAAACUGGUAGCAAUGACUGUCUCCAAGGCAGACAAGUUUGUCUGUUGCCUCAGUGUUGUGAAACUGUAGUUGUGAAACAGCAAUUGGAAGAAGCCUAGCCCAAGACACAAAAAGGGUGAUCUGUGCUACUGACUUGAGAAAGAAAACUGUCCAGACACUUUAAAAAUAAAUAACACACUGGGAUCUUUUAACUUAUUUCUGUAGUUAUUGCCAACCACAUACUGAUUUCAAAUCUUUUUAUUUUACAAAACUGCCAGCAGUGAAACUUGGCAGGGACUUCUCUGAGGAAGACAGAGAAGAUGAAUCAUGAUCAUACAGAUACAGCACUGCACGUAUUUAGCUGUGAAAGCUGUGUAUUUUGUAAAUGCAGACUGGCCAUGCCAAAUUUCAUUCUUCUUUCAGUUACAAUACAUUUGAAUAUUAUCAGAACCUGUAAAGUAAAAGUGGUUCUACCAGAGACAUUUUUGGAGAUCAGAAUUCAAAGUUCUGACAGGAAAUAUGUAUUACAGUUCCCUAGAACAAUAAGUAUCUUGAAAGUAAUGUGUGAAGGUAACAUCUCGUGUAGGCAAGCUCAAGUGAAGGUGGGAGGAGAGGAGAGGAGAGGAGAGGAGAGGA
Long non-coding RNA from Cygnus olor (mute swan), 3074 nucleotides. RefSeq lists it as uncharacterized. The record is from RefSeq and is a predicted model, not a curated record. Lineage: Eukaryota; Metazoa; Chordata; Aves; Anseriformes; Anatidae. The transcript is spliced from 3 exons.